Molecule: ribosomal RNA, 122 nt
Filed under: Zygnema circumcarinatum
Lineage: Eukaryota; Viridiplantae; Streptophyta; Zygnematophyceae; Zygnematales; Zygnemataceae
Source: RNAcentral
UAUGCUGGUACCUUAGGCGCGGAGGCAACACGCUAAUCCAUCCCGAACUUAGCGGUGAAACUCUGUUGCGGUGACAAUACUGUAGGAGAAGUCCUGUGGAAAGAUAGCUCGGCGCCAGCUAU